AUUGAACGCUGGCGGCAGGCUUAACACAUGCAAGUCGAGCGGAGUGAUGGUGCUUGCACUAUCACUUAGUGGCGGACGGGUGAGUAAUGCUUAGGAAUCUGCCUAUUAGUGGGGGACAACAUCUCGAAAGGGAUGCUAAUACCGCAUACGUCCUACGGGAGAAAGCAGGGGAUCACUUGUGACCUUGCGCUAAUAGAUGAGCCUAAGUCAGUUUAGCUAGUUGGUGGGGUAAAGGCCUACCAAGGCGACGAUCUGUAGCGGGUCUGAGAGGAUGAUCCGCCACACUGGGACUGAGACACGGCCCAGACUCCUACGGGAGGCAGCAGUGGGGAAUAUUGGACAAAGGGGGGAACCCUGAUCCAGCCAUGCCGCGUGUGUGAAGAAGGCCUUAUGGUUGUAAAGCACUUUAAGCGAGGAGGAGGCUCUUUUGGUUAAUACCCAAGAUGAGUGGACGUUACUCGCAGAAUAAGCACCGGCUAACUCUGUGCCAGCCGCCGCCGUAA
This 503-nucleotide ribosomal RNA is filed under the name uncultured bacterium. RNAcentral describes it as "partial 16S ribosomal RNA". It matches the Rfam family "Bacterial small subunit ribosomal RNA", at positions 30 to 523 of the family's 1533-position model. The record is from RNAcentral.